Molecule: ribosomal RNA, 478 nt
Filed under: uncultured Planctomycetota bacterium
Lineage: Bacteria; Pseudomonadati; Planctomycetota
Description: bacterial SSU rRNA
Rfam family: Bacterial small subunit ribosomal RNA
Source: RNAcentral
ACACCUACGGGUGGCAGCAGUCGAGGAUCUUCGGCAAUGGGCGCAAGCCUGACCGAGCGACGCCGCGUGUGCGAUGAAGGCCUUCGGGUUGUAAAGCACUGUCGAGGGGGAGGAAAGCCCGCAAGGGUCUGACCUAUCCCUGGAGGAAGGACGGGCUAAGUUCGUGCCAGCAGCCGCGGUAAGACGAACCGUCCAAACGUUGUUCGGAAUCACUGGGCUUAAAGGGCGCGUAGGCGGGUCAGCAAGUCCGGGGUGAAAUCUUUCGGCUUAACCGGAAAAGUGCCUUGGAAACUGCUGGUCUAGAGGGAGGUAGGGGCAUGUGGAACUUCUGGUGGAGCGGUGAAAUGCGUUGAUAUCAGAAGGAACGCCGGUGGCGAAAGCGACGUGCUGGAUCUCUUCUGACGCUGAGGCGCGAAAGCCAGGGGAGCAAACGGGAUUAGAUACCCCGGUAGUCCUGGCCCUAAACGAUGAGAACUAG